Molecule: ribosomal RNA, 337 nt
Filed under: uncultured Aeromonas sp.
Lineage: Bacteria; Pseudomonadati; Pseudomonadota; Gammaproteobacteria; Aeromonadales; Aeromonadaceae
Description: bacterial SSU rRNA
Rfam family: Bacterial small subunit ribosomal RNA
Source: RNAcentral
GGGGAAUAUUGCACAAUGGGGGAAACCCUGAUGCAGCCAUGCCGCGUGUGUGAAGAAGGCCUUCGGGUUGUAAAGCACUUUCAGCGAGGAGGAAAGGUUGGCGCCUAAUACGUGUCAACUGUGACGUUACUCGCAGAAGAAGCACCGGCUAACUCCGUGCCAGCAGCCGCGGUAAUACGGAGGGUGCAAGCGUUAAUCGGAAUUACUGGGCGUAAAGCGCACGCAGGCGGUUGGAUAAGUUAGAUGUGAAAGCCCCGGGCUCAACCUGGGAAUUGCAUUUAAAACUGUCCAGCUAGAGUCUUGUAGAGGGGGGUAGAAUUCCAGGUGUAGCGGUGAA